GAUGAACGCUGGCGGCGUGCUUAACACAUGCAAGUCGAACGAAGCAUUUGCGACAGAUUUUUUCGGAAUGAAGUUGCUUAUGACUGAGUGGCGGACGGGUGAGUAACGCGUGGGUAACCUGCCUUGUACUGGGGGAUAGCAGCUGGAAACGGCUGGUAAUACCGCAUAAGCGCACAAUGUUGCAUGACAUGGUGUGAAAAACUCCGGUGGUAUAAGAUGGACCCGCGUCUGAUUAGCUAGUUGGUGAGAUAACAGCCCACCAAGGCGACGAUCAGUAGCCGACCUGAGAGGGUGACCGGCCACAUUGGGACUGAGACACGGCCCAGACUCCUACGGGAGGCAGCAGUGGGGAAUAUUGCACAAUGGAGGAAAAUCUGAUGCAGCGACGCCGCGUGAGUGAAGAAGUAAUUCGUGAUGUAAAGCUCUAUCAGCAGGGAAGAUAGUGACGGUACCUGACUAAGAAGCGCCGGCUAAAUACGUG
Molecule: ribosomal RNA, 481 nt
Filed under: uncultured bacterium
Lineage: Bacteria
Description: partial 16S ribosomal RNA
Rfam family: Bacterial small subunit ribosomal RNA
Source: RNAcentral